Molecule: ribosomal RNA, 446 nt
Filed under: Propionibacterium freudenreichii
Lineage: Bacteria; Bacillati; Actinomycetota; Actinomycetes; Propionibacteriales; Propionibacteriaceae
Description: bacterial SSU rRNA
Rfam family: Bacterial small subunit ribosomal RNA
Source: RNAcentral
CCUACGGGAGGCAGCAGUGGGGAAUAUUGCACAAUGGGCGCAAGCCUGAUGCAGCAACGCCGCGUGCGGGAUGACGGCCUUCGGGUUGUAAACCGCUUUCAUCCAUGACGAAGCGCAAGUGACGGUAGUGGGAGAAGAAGCACCGGCUAACUACGUGCCAGCAGCCGCGGUGAUACGUAGGGUGCGAGCGUUGUCCGGAAUUAUUGGGCGUAAAGAGCUUGUAGGCGGUUGAUCACGUCGGAAGUGAAAUUCCAGGGCUUAACUCUGGGCUUGCUUUCGAUACGGGUUGACUUGAGGAAUGUAGGGGAGAAUGGAACUCUCGGUGGAGCGGUGGAAUGCGCAGAUAUCGGGAAGAACACCAGUGGCGAAGGCGGUUCUCUGGACAUUUCCUGACGCUGAGAAGCGAAAGCGUGGGGAGCAAACAGGCUUAGAUACCCUGGUAGUCC